CCCGCACAAGCGGUGGAGCAUGUGGUUUAAUUCGAAGCAACGCGAAGAACCUUACCAGGUCUUGACAUCCUCUGACAACCCUAGAGAUAGGGCUUUCCCCUUCGGGGGACAGAGUGACAGGUGGUGCAUGGUUGUCGUCAGCUCGUGUCGUGAGAUGUUGGGUUAAGUCCCGCAACGAGCGCAACCCUUGAUCUUAGUUGCCAGCAUUCAGUUGGGCACUCUAAGGUGACUGCCGGUGACAAACCGGAGGAAGGUGGGGAUGACGUCAAAUCAUCAUGCCCCUUAUGACCUGGGCUACACACGUGCUACAAUGGAUGGUACAAAGGGCUGCAAACCUGCGAAGGUAAGCGAAUCCCAUAAAGCCAUUCUCAGUUCGGAUUGCAGGCUGCAACU
Molecule: ribosomal RNA, 393 nt
Filed under: Bacillus sp. (in: firmicutes)
Lineage: Bacteria; Bacillati; Bacillota; Bacilli; Caryophanales; Bacillaceae
Description: bacterial SSU rRNA
Rfam family: Bacterial small subunit ribosomal RNA
Source: RNAcentral